Molecule: ribosomal RNA, 388 nt
Filed under: uncultured bacterium
Lineage: Bacteria
Description: bacterial SSU rRNA
Rfam family: Bacterial small subunit ribosomal RNA
Source: RNAcentral
GACGAACGCUGGCGGCGUGCUUAACACAUGCAAGUCGAGCGGUAAGGCCCUUUCGGGGGUACACGAGCGGCGAACGGGUGAGUAACACGUGGGUGACCUGCCCUCAGCUCUGGGAUAAGCCUGGGAAACCGGGUCUAAUACCGGAUAUGACUCCAUGACGCAUGUUGUGGGGUGGAAAGCCUUGUGCGGCUGAGGAUGGGCCCGCGGCCUAUCAGCUUGUUGGUGGGUGAUGGCCUACCAAGGCGACGACGGGUAGCCGGCCUGAGAGGGCGACCGGCCACACUGGGACUGAGACACGGCCCAGACUCCUACGGGAGGCAGCAGUGGGGAAUCUUGCGCAAUGGGACGAAAGCCUGACGCAGCGACGCCGCGUGAGGGAUGACGGCCU